RNAcentral lists this unclassified non-coding RNA (294 nucleotides) under uncultured Lysobacteraceae bacterium. Its description in RNAcentral is "uncultured Xanthomonadaceae bacterium contains 16S-23S intergenic spacer region". Lineage: Bacteria; Pseudomonadati; Pseudomonadota; Gammaproteobacteria; Lysobacterales; Lysobacteraceae. The record is from RNAcentral.
GCGGACUACAAGGGUAUCUAAUCCUGUUUGCUCCCCACGCUUUCGUGCCUCAGUGUCAGUGCUGGUCCAGAGAGCCGCCUUCGCAACUGAUGUUCCUCCCGAUCUCUACGCAUUUCACUGCUACACCGGGAAUUCCACUCUCCUCUACCGCACUCUAGCGAGCCAGUAUCCAUCGCCAUUCCCAGGUUGAGCCCGGGGCUUUCACGACAGACUUAACUCACCACCUACGCACGCUUUACGCCCAGUAAUUCCGAGUAGCGCUUGCACCCUUCGUAUUACCGCGGCGGCUGACAC